This 216-nucleotide long non-coding RNA is filed under the name Pelobates cultripes (western spadefoot toad). Lineage: Eukaryota; Metazoa; Chordata; Amphibia; Anura; Pelobatidae. The record is from RNAcentral.
GCUUAAAUGACCACUAUAGUGCCAGGAAAACAUACUAGUUUUCCUGGCACUAUAGUGCCCUGAGGGUGCCCCCACCCUCAGGGUCCCCCUCCCGCCUGGCUCUGGGGAGAGGAAAGGGGUUAAAACUUACCUUUUUCCAGCGCUGGGCGGGGAGCUCUCCUCCUCCGAUCCUCCUCCAUUCCUCCCAUUCGGCUGAAUGCGCAUGCGUGGCAGGAG